This 2093-nucleotide ribosomal RNA is filed under the name Salmonella enterica subsp. enterica serovar Stanley. Its description in RNAcentral is "partial 23S ribosomal RNA". It matches the Rfam family "Bacterial large subunit ribosomal RNA", at positions 728 to 2802 of the family's 2925-position model. Lineage: Bacteria; Pseudomonadati; Pseudomonadota; Gammaproteobacteria; Enterobacterales; Enterobacteriaceae. The record is from RNAcentral.
AUCUAGCCAUGGGCAGGUUGAAGGUUGGGUAACACUAACUGGAGGACCGAACCGACUAAUGUUGAAAAAUUAGCGGAUGACCUGUGGCUGGGGGUGAAAGGCCAAUCAAACCGGGAGAUAGCUGGUUCUCCCCGAAAGCUAUUUAGGUAGCGCCUCGUGAAUUCAUCUCCGGGGGUAGAGCACUGUUUCGGCUAGGGGGCCAUCCCGGCUUACCAACCCGAUGCAAACUGCGAAUACCGGAGAAUGUUAUCACGGGAGACACACGGCGGGUGCUAACGUCCGUCGUGAAGAGGGAAACAACCCAGACCGCCAGCUAAGGUCCCAAAGUCAUGGUUAAGUGGGAAACGAUGUGGGAAGGCCCAGACAGCCAGGAUGUUGGCUUAGAAGCAGCCAUCAUUUAAAGAAAGCGUAAUAGCUCACUGGUCGAGUCGGCCUGCGCGGAAGAUGUAACGGGGCUAAACCAUGCACCGAAGCUGCGGCAGCGACACUGUGUGUUGUUGGGUAGGGGAGCGUUCUGUAAGCCUGUGAAGGUGUGUCGUGAGGCAUGCUGGAGGUAUCAGAAGUGCGAAUGCUGACAUAAGUAACGAUAAAGCGGGUGAAAAGCCCGCUCGCCGGAAGACCAAGGGUUCCUGUCCAACGUUAAUCGGGGCAGGGUGAGUCGACCCCUAAGGCGAGGCCGAAAGGCGUAGUCGAUGGGAAACGGGUUAAUAUUCCCGUACUUGGUGUUACUGCGAAGGGGGGACGGAGAAGGCUAUGUUGGCCGGGCGACGGUUGUCCCGGUUUAAGCGUGUAGGUGUGUGUUCCAGGUAAAUCCGGUUCACUUUAACACUGAGGCGUGACGACGAGGCACUACGGUGCUGAAGCAACAAAUGCCCUGCUUCCAGGAAAAGCCUCUAAGCAUCAGGUAACAUCAAAUCGUACCCCAAACCGACACAGGUGGUCAGGUAGAGAAUACCAAGGCGCUUGAGAGAACUCGGGUGAAGGAACUAGGCAAAAUGGUGCCGUAACUUCGGGAGAAGGCACGCUGACACGUAGGUGAAGUGAUUUACUCAUGGAGCUGAAGUCAGUCGAAGAUACCAGCUGGCUGCAACUGUUUAUUAAAAACACAGCACUGUGCAAACACGAAAGUGGACGUAUACGGUGUGACGCCUGCCCGGUGCCGGAAGGUUAAUUGAUGGGGUCAGCGCAAGCGAAGCUCCUGAUCGAAGCCCCGGUAAACGGCGGCCGUAACUAUAACGGUCCUAAGGUAGCGAAAUUCCUUGUCGGGUAAGUUCCGACCUGCACGAAUGGCGUAAUGAUGGCCAGGCUGUCUCCACCCGAGACUCAGUGAAAUUGAACUCGCUGUGAAGAUGCAGUGUACCCGCGGCAAGACGGAAAGACCCCGUGAACCUUUACUAUAGCUUGACACUGAACAUUGAGCCUUGAUGUGUAGGAUAGGUGGGAGGCUUUGAAGCGUGGACGCCAGUCUGCGUGGAGCCGACCUUGAAAUACCACCCUUUAAUGUUUGAUGUUCUAACGUGGACCCGUGAUCCGGGUUGCGGACAGUGUCUGGUGGGUAGUUUGACUGGGGCGGUCUCCUCCUAAAGAGUAACGGAGGAGCACGAAGGUUGGCUAAUCCUGGUCGGACAUCAGGAGGUUAGUGCAAUGGCAUAAGCCAGCUUGACUGCGAGCGUGACGGCGCGAGCAGGUGCGAAAGCAGGUCAUAGUGAUCCGGUGGUUCUGAAUGGAAGGGCCAUCGCUCAACGGAUAAAAGGUACUCCGGGGAUAACAGGCUGAUACCGCCCAAGAGUUCAUAUCGACGGCGGUGUUUGGCACCUCGAUGUCGGCUCAUCACAUCCUGGGGCUGAAGUAGGUCCCAAGGGUAUGGCUGUUCGCCAUUUAAAGUGGUACGCGAGCUGGGUUUAGAACGUCGUGAGACAGUUCGGUCCCUAUCUGCCGUGGGCGCUGGAGAACUGAGGGGGGCUGCUCCUAGUACGAGAGGACCGGAGUGGACGCAUCACUGGUGUUCGGGUUGUCAUGCCAAUGGCACUGCCCGGUAGCUAAAUGCGGAAGAGAUAAGUGCUGAAAGCAUCUAAGCACGAAACUUGCCCCGA